RNAcentral lists this ribosomal RNA (253 nucleotides) under uncultured bacterium. RNAcentral's name for it is "partial 16S ribosomal RNA". It matches the Rfam family "Bacterial small subunit ribosomal RNA", at positions 524 to 776 of the family's 1533-position model. The record is from RNAcentral.
UACGAAGGGGGCGAGCGUUGUUCGGAAUUACCGGGCGUAAAGGGCUCGUAGGCGGCCAACUAAGUCGGAUGUGAAAUCCCCAGGCUUAACCUGGGAACUGCAUCCGAUACUGGAUGGCUUGAAUCCGGGAGAGGGAUGCAGAAUUCCAGGUGUAGCGGUGAAAUGCGUAGAUAUCUGGAGGAAUACCGGUGGCGAAGGCGGCAUCCUGGACCGGCAUUGACGCUGAUGAGCGAAAGCUAGGGGAGCAAACGGG